CCUUCCAAAUGAGCCCUUUCACAGCUGCCAGCUGUGCCACGGAAUCGUGAAUGUAAAUGAGUGGGCCAGAUCCUCUGCUGGCAUCCAUGGAGGCAGCUUUGAUGGACCGUCCUGGAUCCACAACAGCUGGAGGAGUCUGGCUGUAGCAGGAGCCCGACUUGCUCUGCAGAUUUCUUUGAGAGCCUGUGGGAAAGGGCCUGAAGCUGGGCGAGCUGCAGGAUAGGGCAGCAUCAACUGCACAUCUGGAGGGACCCUCGAGUCUCUGACUUUUGCUGCCAGACAAAGCCUUCUUUACUGGAGCAAUCAGCCCCACCUGAUGCCAGGCAGGGUGUAAAGCAGGAUGUCGGAAGCUGGAGCCUCCUUAUCGAUAGCCUUGCUGAACUUGUAACCUGUUCCCUGGUACCAUAUGCCAGCACGUAUCAUCUUGCCCUCAUAAAGCUUUGUUUAUCUCCAUCCACCUUGUUGGGCUGAGCGUGUGGGAAGCAUGUGAGGGACUCUCAUGAGCAGCCUCGCGUUCUCCGAGCUGUUUUUCCCCUGGGGGUGAGCUUUCCCCAAAGUGCACAGUCCAUUUCACUCAGAGGUGAUGGCCUGAAACCUGCAGAGCUGGUGGUGAGAGGGGAACAAGCUUUCUUUGUGAGGCUGCUCCAGCUUGCUGGGUGUGCUGGGUGCACUGAAUGAAAUCUUUCAUUUGGUUCCUCAGAGAGUACAGGAAGAUCCUCAGCUUUUGUCCUGAAUGGGAUUGUAGCCCAGACCAGGGAAAGGUCACAAAUACCAUGCCCUGGUAGUGCUGAGGUUAUUGGAUUGAACCUUGCUUUGUUAGUGUAACCAUGUUGUGGACUUGGACUUUCAGCCAAGGAAAGAGGGUGCUGAAAAG
RNAcentral lists this long non-coding RNA (874 nucleotides) under Meleagris gallopavo (turkey). RNAcentral describes it as "lncRNA (ENSMGAG00000019748.1)". Lineage: Eukaryota; Metazoa; Chordata; Aves; Galliformes; Phasianidae. The record is from RNAcentral.